CAGCCGCCGCGGUAAUACCGGCGGCCCGAGUGGCGGUCACUAUUAUUGGGCUUAAAGCGUCCGUAGCCGGGUUGGGAAGUCCUCCGGGAAAUCUGGCCGCUUAAAGGUCAGAAUGCCGGAGGAUACUCCCAGCCUAGGGAGCGGGAGAGGCCGAGGGUAUUCCCGGAGUAGGGGUGAAAUCCUAUAAUCCCGGGAGGACCACCUGUGGCGAAGGCGCUCGGCUGGAACGCGUCCGACGGUGAGGGACGAAGGCCAGGGGAGCAAACCGGAUUAGAUACCCGGGUAGUCCUGGCGGUAAACGAUGCGGACUUUGUGUCGGACAAGCUAUGAGCUUGUCCGGUGCCGGAGGGAAACCAUUAAGUCCGCCGCCUGGGGAGUACGGCCGCAAGGCUGAAACUUAAAGGAAUUGGCGGG
Molecule: ribosomal RNA, 414 nt
Filed under: uncultured microorganism
Description: bacterial SSU rRNA
Rfam family: Archaeal small subunit ribosomal RNA
Source: RNAcentral